This 465-nucleotide ribosomal RNA is filed under the name uncultured bacterium. RNAcentral describes it as "partial 16S ribosomal RNA". It matches the Rfam family "Bacterial small subunit ribosomal RNA", at positions 28 to 507 of the family's 1533-position model. The record is from RNAcentral.
GACGAACGCUGGCGGCGUGCUUAACACAUGCAAGUCGAACGGAAAGGCCCUGCUUGCAGGGUACUCGAGUGGCGAACGGGUGAGUAACACGUGGGUGAUCUGCCCUGCACUUCGGGAUAAGCCUGGGAAACUGGGUCUAAUACCGGAUAGGAGCCAUUUUUAGUGUGAUGGUUGGAAAGUUUUUUCGGUGUAGGAUGAGCUCGCGGCCUAUCAGCUUGUUGGUGGGGUAAUGGCCUACCAAGGCGGCGACGGGUAGCCGGCCUGAGAGGGUGGACGGCCACAUUGGGACUGAGAUACGGCCCAGACUCCUACGGGAGGCAGCAGUGGGGAAUAUUGCACAAUGGGCGCAAGCCUGAUGCAGCGACGCCGCGUGGGGGAGGACGGCCUUCGGGUUGGAAACUCCCUUCGCUAGGGACGAAGCUUUUUGUGACGGUACCUAGAUAAGAAGCACCGGCUAACUACGUG